Molecule: long non-coding RNA, 765 nt
Filed under: Bemisia tabaci
Lineage: Eukaryota; Metazoa; Arthropoda; Insecta; Hemiptera; Aleyrodidae
Description: lncRNA ENSSSA1NGG007106
Source: RNAcentral
AUUUUAAAUUCAUCAAAAGUUUCAGCCAAUGAAGCACAAGAAAACAAAAAAUCAUUAAAUAACUCUUAAGUCUGUGGAAACAUCAUGCUCAGAAUACUUAAAAAUUGCCGACAAUGCAAGAUAUUAUUCCUUUGCUCUAAUUUGCUGGUAAAAAUAAAUUGCAUGUAUAUUUUCUCUCUUCAAUGGUUCGUUGACUUGCUGAAGAAAACCAUUGACAGCACUGAAAAAUCAGACUCAAUUGAGAUUCGUAUUAAGAUCUGACGCAGGUACUCAACCAAAGUUUUUACUCAAGUGUCAGCAGGAGCCUUUUCCAACAGGAUAGGCUCUUGUUUUCACUGUUGCUGGUGAUUAACUUCAAGUUCUCUCGACAAGAAAUCGACGUUUCUGAGUGGAGUUUCUUGAUGAUGAAAGAGGAAAAAUCAAAACAUGAGUCGGACCGUUACUGUCACUGGCUUCCCAACCACUUGUGGAAUACUGUUUGUCAGCUCAGCAAACUUUCUCCUUUUAAGGGACUUCAGGAGGACUUCAAUAAUAAUGAGCAAGCUUGGAAGAAUAUUGUGGAGGCUUCAAGCUCUGAAGAUGUUCCUUUCCCAAAACCAUGGUGCUCGCAGUUAACUUGUUUUCAGCAGAUCUUGGUUCUAAAAAGCAUUCGUCCUGACAGACUCCUUCCUGCAGUCCAAGACUUUGUAACUGGUUGGUAUUUUGAAACUUUUUAAGACCGCAAGAGGCUCUUAGAUUCCUUUUGAUAUUUUUUUUCUUUUCCCC